This 477-nucleotide ribosomal RNA is filed under the name uncultured bacterium. Its description in RNAcentral is "partial 16S ribosomal RNA". It matches the Rfam family "Bacterial small subunit ribosomal RNA", at positions 30 to 507 of the family's 1533-position model. The record is from RNAcentral.
AUUGAACGCUGGCGGCAUGCCUUACACAUGCAAGUCGAACGGUAACAGGUUAAGCUGCCGAGUGGCGAACGGGUGAGUAAUGUAUCGGAACGUGCCCAGUCGUGGGGGAUAACUGCUCGAAAGAGCAGCUAAUACCGCAUACGACCUGAGGGUGAAAGCGGUGGAUCGCAAGACCUCGCGCGAUUGGAGCGGCCGAUAUCAGAUUAGGUAGUUGGUGAGGUAAAGGCUCACCAAGCCGACGAUCUGUAGCUGGUCUGAGAGGACGACCAGCCACACUGGGACUGAGACACGGCCCAGACUCCUACGGGAGGCAGCAGUGGGGAAUUUUGGACAAUGGGCGCAAGCCUGAUCCAGCCAUGCCGCGUGCGGGAAGAAGGCCUUCGGGUUGUAAACCGCUUUUGUCAGGGAAGAAAAGGUUCUGGCUAAUACCUGGGACUCAUGACGGUACCUGAAGAAUAAGCACCGGCUAACUACGUG